Molecule: ribosomal RNA, 449 nt
Filed under: uncultured bacterium
Lineage: Bacteria
Description: bacterial SSU rRNA
Rfam family: Bacterial small subunit ribosomal RNA
Source: RNAcentral
AGCGAACGCUGGCGGCAGGCCUAACACAUGCAAGUCGAGCGCUCGUAGCAAUACGAGAGCGGCAGACGGGAGAGUAACACGUGGGAACGUACCCUUUGGUUCGGAACAACACAGGGAAACUUGUGCUAAUACCGAAUAAGCCCUUACGGGGAAAGAUUUAUCGCCGAAGGAUCGGCCCGCGUCUGAUUAGCUAGUUGGUGGGGUAAUGGCUCACCAAGGCGACGAUCAGUAGCNGGUCUGAGAGGAUGACCAGCCUCAUUGGGACUGAGACACGGCCCAAACUCCUACGGGAGGCAGCAGUGGGGAAUAUUGGACAAUGGGCGCAAGCCUGAUCCAGCCAUGCCGCGUGGAUGAUGAAGGCCUUAGGGUUGUAAAGUCCUUUUAACGGGGAAGAUAAUGACGGUACCCGUAGAAUAAGCCCCGGCUAACUUCGUGCCAGCCGCCGCGGU